Alosa sapidissima (American shad) is the source of this 924-nucleotide long non-coding RNA. RefSeq lists it as uncharacterized. The transcript has 3 exons. The record is from RefSeq and is a predicted model, not a curated record. NCBI's taxonomy places the organism in Eukaryota, Metazoa, Chordata, Actinopteri, Clupeiformes, Clupeidae.
UAUUUAUUCUUCUUGAAGAAUACAGAAAACGAAAAACUAUACUAAAAAGUAAAUUCGACCCGACAAUAACAGCAAACAAAAAACAAAGAAAUUGGGAAGAAAUCACUGCUAAAAUUAAUGCGAGAAGUACGGUGAAUAGGAGUGUACCAGAAAUACAAAAAAAGUUAGAGAAUCUAACUGUGAUGGCCAAGAAAGAGAUGUCCUGCUUUAGGAGGGAGUCCAAUGGAACUGGUGGUGGAUCAGCUCCAAAACCAAUUUCAAGCGAUGCUGCAAUGGUUGCCGACAUCAUUGGUAGGGACUCAUCCACAGUAAAGGGGAUUGCUGGUGGACAGGAGAGCGGUGUCAUAUUGGAAAGAUAUAAAGAGAAUAAACUCAAAGGGGAACUGCAAACAUUCAGAUUGAAGCCCACCAUUGAGAAGAGAAAAACUCAGGGAACCCAAUAGCUAUACAAUAUUUGGUGGCAUUCUGUUUUGCAUAGUUGUGAUUUCUAAAAGUGAACCUUUACAUUAUAUACCUGUCUUAAACUGUCUUUUGUUGCUUGUGAAAUACAUAUAAUACACAUUUUUGUAUUAACAGAUUGUUUUGUGGUGUUAUUUAUCAUAUGGCGUGACACCAUAUCAUUUGGUGUGACAUCAAGAAAUUAUGAAAAUAAAAAGGCUUUUGGGGUCUGUAUCAUACAAAUCUCAAUGGAACAGAUAGAAAAUAGGGUCAGCAAAAGUCACAAGCAUUUUCUUUCUUUUAUAUCAAGGUAUGUCAAAAUGAAUAUGACGUUUAUUGAAAGAUUGAGGACAUAUGCCUUACUCUGUGUAUUGAUGAAGAAAUAUACUGUAAAAUGUAAUACAUUUGCACAAGGAAAUGCUAGAUCUUGAUGAAGUAAUGAUAGAAGAUUAUAAUACAUUGCUCACAUUAAAAACAAAAUACCCC